GCACACACAGGGCUGUGCCCCCUUCUACACAUGAACUAACUGAGAAGAAACAUCACUUCCCAAUAUAACUGUUACGCUAUAAAUUAACAUUCACGUCAUGGCCAAAUCCUCAUAGCAGUUGUGCUGUACAGAGAAGCUGCUUUCCAGAGCCACGGGGGCACAGCCUGAGCAGUUUGUGGAGAAGGGGACCAAGGCCUCUCAGCCUAUGCUGGGCUCCAGGCUCCAUCUUGAAGAUCUACGAGUGUUCUGGUGGAGAUGCUUCUGCAAAGCCCGGCCCCAUCCUGAAUCUGAGGACAUCAGACUUGUGCACAUGUGGACUGAUGCCAAUGGAACCAAUGGAAUGUCUCUGGGUACACAUUCACUGGGACUGAGGACUGAAUAACACUAGGAAAGGACCAUGCAAGAUAAAGAGGAGGAGCAUAACUUCUGAAGAAACUGUUUUGAUCUGCUUUGGGUUUUCCCAAUAUUGGCAAUUCUUUGUUUUGAAUACAUUUUUUCCCCUUUAAGAGAAGUAUACUCCAAGCCAGUCUUGUGCUACAGCUUCUUUACCUUUGUCUGCCUAACUCAGCUGGUAUUUAAUUGGUCAGCAAUAGGAGGGAAGUCUCCUUUGAGGUAAUGAAUAUUGACUGUUUAUGUUGAAAUGUCACUGUGAAAAGAAAGCCCAGCACCAAAGAGGCGGAACUCAGUGUGAGAGUUUCAGACACAAAGGAGACACCAGCAAAGCACAGGCAUUGAAAAGCAAAGCAGCUGAAAUUCA
This 757-nucleotide long non-coding RNA is filed under the name Anser brachyrhynchus (Pink-footed goose). RNAcentral's name for it is "lncRNA (ENSABRG00000010070.1)". Lineage: Eukaryota; Metazoa; Chordata; Aves; Anseriformes; Anatidae. The record is from RNAcentral.